This 600-nucleotide ribosomal RNA is filed under the name uncultured bacterium. RNAcentral describes it as "partial 16S ribosomal RNA". The stretch from base 1 to 280 matches the Rfam family "Bacterial small subunit ribosomal RNA", at positions 91 to 358 of the family's 1533-position model. The record is from RNAcentral.
UUACGCGGNGUACGGGUGCGGAACACGUGUGCACUGCUUUAUCUGANGGAUAGCCUUUCGAAAGGAACGAUUAAUACCCCCAUAAAUCAUGUUGAAUGGAUCCAUUCGACAUUGAAAACGUCCGGUGGCAUAGCAGCAUGGGCACGCGCAAGAUUAGAUACGUUGGUGAGGUAACGGCUCCACCAAGUCUACGAUCUUUAGGGAGCCUGAGAGGGUGAUCCCCCACAACUGGUACUUGAGACACUGNGACCAAGACAUCCUACGGGAGUGCAGCAGUGAGUGACUCAUUUGGAACACAUGUGUGAGAGCCUUGAUACCAGCCAUCCCUGGUGACGGACGACUUGCCUAUGGGUUUGUAGAAUUCUUUUGUAUAAGGGAUAAAAACUAAGCAAUCGUGAGGGGUAGUAGAAAGGUACUAUUAGGAAAUAAAGAAUAGAGGUAAGAUUCCUGUUGANAAAGAAGACAGGGUAAUAAUGAANGUGUUGAAAGAUGUUAAUACGGAUAUAAUUGGGGUAUAAAAAGGGGGUCCUGUAAAUGCUGUGGAAUACCUUGGUAAAAGGUCAAGGUUGGUUUNGAAAAAUACUUCAAGCAAGGAGUUAU